AUUUUUGUACAUUUAGUCCAGCUCACUCACCUGAUGGUGGAAGGUGUGCCUCUUUAAUAACCUGUAUCGUUAAUUAUAACUCCAUGGGGACGAAUAUCACGAGAACUGAAGAGAAGAAACUGAAGUACACUAUUUUAUAUCAACUUAAAUAAUUUUGUACACACAUCUGAUACAUUUUGGUGUGUAAACCUUUCGUUUAUUUGAUAAAUACUCAUCGCUAGCGAGAAAUUUCAACCUAUCUGAAACCGAGUACAUAAUUAGUAAGGAAAAUGAGAUUGUUGUCAUUCUCAAGCAUUCUGCUCCUUAGCUUCGCAAUUAUGUUAACAGAUAUUUCGCCAACGGCAGGUUGGAUAAGGGCGCGAACUUAUCAAUGUGAAGGGCAUUGCGCGUUUGGUUGGGGAUAUGCAGCGUCGUUGGGGUGUGCCCAUUGUUGUCAAGCUAAUGGCAUCAUUGCGCCGGGGAAUUGGCAAGCAUAUGGCAGUUGUCGAUGGGGGAGAUGCAUGUGUCGAAUACUUUAAGAAAUAUUCAGCUCAUAUUUUUUUCUCAGGUGAAAUUUAAUGAAGAAUGGAACGUCAGAUGAUUUCAAAAAUAUCAAAUCUGCGAUAAAAUUGAUAAAGCAAAAUUUUAAGAAAUUUUAAAUAUUUUUCCUGUACAUAGCUAUAUCUAAUAAACUUAUGUAUAUCAUAAAUACCUGUAUCUACAUAAAUAAGAACUCUAUGUAAAUAUUGAGGCAGGCAACUUUCGUAAGUCCGAGAUGUUUGUCAGUAUCGUCGAAAGUUUACGCGGAAUUAUGUACGAGGGCUGAUGUGAAUUGCCACAUUUAUUUAUUACCAAACGAAUAUGAGUAAAAUACAUAUGUACAAAUUUGAUUUGGACAAAUCGAUUGAUAAUAAAAAUAUUGAAUAUUUUCAAUAAA
This is a long non-coding RNA of Folsomia candida, 916 nucleotides long. RefSeq lists it as uncharacterized. The transcript has 2 exons. The record is from RefSeq and is a predicted model, not a curated record. NCBI's taxonomy places the organism in Eukaryota, Metazoa, Arthropoda, Collembola, Entomobryomorpha, Isotomidae.